GUUCUCUUCUCUCUCUCAAAACUCUCGUUCUCUUCUCUCUCUCACCUCCCUUCACCACGCCGCUGGUCUGCUGCUCCCCACCGUGAUAUUUCGCUGCCGUCGCUCCGCCACCGUGCUAUUUCGCUGUCGUUGCUCCGCCACGGCCUUGUGCCGGCCGUCGUUGCUCCUCCCACCGCCAUCCACUUCAGCUUUUUAAGGUAUUUUUUUAAUUUAUGAAUGCCUAUCGAUUAUAAUUUAUUUUUUGAAGUUCUGAACUGAUUUCGACUUUUUUUAUUGUUUUUUCUAUGAAAAUCAACUGAUUUCGAAAAUUUUAAAUCGUGGUAUGACUAUAUGUAGUCAGAUCUAAUGGUGAAUUUCAGAUCUGGAACCGGUGGUGUUUGAUUUGUAUAUGGUGUUUGAUUUGUAUAUAUUUACUGCAUUAAUAAAAAAAAAAAAACCAAAUCUACUAUGUUUUGAAGAUAUGUGAACAAUUAAUAUUAAAAAAAAAUUUUUGGAUUAAUUUGAUUUUUUAUUAUAAAUCAUAUGUAAUUUAUUUUUUGUAUUUAUUUGAAGAUGAUUCGAAAUGCCUCAAGUGUGAGAGUUUUUUAUUAAUCAUGUAUAGUCAUUGCUACAUAUAACUAUACAUGACUAUACAGUCAUAUGUAAUCAUGUAUAGUCAUGUCUACAUAUAACUAUACAUGACUAUACAGUCAUAUGUAAAAUAUUUGUGCUAGGUAAGACAGUGUUUUCAAAUUUAUAUGUUAUACAAAGUGUAUGUGACAUAUGAAUUUUUGUUUUGCUGUACAGGAUGAUGAAGAAUCCGUGUUACGGAGAGAGAAAGAAAUAGAUAAAAUUAGUAUAGAAGGCAUUUCUUUUGAUGGAAAGGUUUAAUAGUUUUUGCCAUAGGUUGGUGUGAAUUCUUGUUUCGUUUAAAUAAUUUUUUUUACGAUCUUUGUCAUGAAUUUUUAUUUAUGAUUGGUUCUUUUUUUUCCAGUAAGAGCACGGGUAAUGCAAUUGCAGAAUAUUUUUCCAGAUCGGAACUUGGCUGUACUUGUUUCAGUGUAGGAGAGAUUUGCGUUAUCAAGUCAUAUAUAGUCACACGGGAUCGAACCGAGCCUGCUUUUAGUGUUCUAGUUUCGAUAGAUCGGAGUUGUCGGGUUGAAAAGUGAGAUUUGAAGCUAUAAAUUCAAAUUAUACUAUACAUGACUAUACUCAUAUAGUUAGUCACAUGUAGUUAUAUAUAGUCACAUAUAGUCAUAUACAUGUAGUCAUAUAUAGUCACAUAUAGUCAUAUACAUGUAGUCAUAUAUAUAGUCACAUAUAGUCAUAUACAUGUAGUCAUAUAUAGUCACAUGUAGUCAUAUAUAGUCACAUAUAGUCAUAUACAUGUAGUCAUAUAUAGUCACAUAUGGUCAUAUACAUGUAAUUAUAUAUAGUCACGUUUAGUAGCAUGUAAUUAUAUAUUUUUAUAUAAAAGAUAUGCGUUUCUUCUGAUGUAUACUGAUGAUGGUGUUAAUGAUUGUGUUUUUUGAUUUUUUUGUUGGGCACUAAUUGAUUUAUAAUAACAAGAUUCAAAUUGUAAAUUUAUUUGUUGGUAUAAAUGAAGUUUUUUUUAUAUAAUCAACGGGUUACAUAAUCGGUCGACCAUAAUUUUGGGAUAAAAAAUAGUACAUGACUACAUAUAACUAUACAUGACUGUCGUAUACUAUAGUCAUGUGUAGUCAAUUUAUU
This 1710-nucleotide long non-coding RNA is filed under the name Erythranthe guttata (spotted monkey flower). RNAcentral describes it as "long non-coding RNA (EGUT_LNC002261)". Lineage: Eukaryota; Viridiplantae; Streptophyta; Magnoliopsida; Lamiales; Phrymaceae. The record is from RNAcentral.